UCUUAACAUAAGGAUAAUUUCUUCCAACAGAUCUAAUUGAUGGAUCCACCUCUUCCUCCGAAUCAACUGUAUGAAGGCCUUCAUCAUCAGAAGAAAAAGAUGAUAUCCUGUAGUCAGAUCCGUUACUUUUGAAUGAACUUGAUGAUAAAAAAUCGCGAGUGUCAAAAAAAGUGUUUUCUUCCUCAUCUGUUUCUUCCUCUGCAG
This 204-nucleotide unclassified non-coding RNA is filed under the name Hevea brasiliensis (rubber tree). Lineage: Eukaryota; Viridiplantae; Streptophyta; Magnoliopsida; Malpighiales; Euphorbiaceae. The record is from RNAcentral.